CCUACGGGGGGCAGCAGUGAGGAAUAUUGGUCAAUGGGCGCAAGCCUGAACCAGCCAAGUCGCGUGAGGGAAGACGGCCCUACGGGUUGUAAACCUCUUUUGCCGGGGAGCAAGCCUGAGCACGUGUGCCCAGGCGGAGAGUACCCGGAGAAAAAGCAUCGGCUAACUCCGUGCCAGCAGCCGCGGUAAUACGGAGGAUUCAAGCGUUAUCCGGAUUUAUUGGGUUUAAAGGGUGCGUAGGCGGUCGGAUAAGUUAGAGGUGAAAUCCCGAGGCUCAACUUCGGAAUUGCCUCUGAUACUGUUCGGCUAGAGAGUAGUUGCGGUAGGCGGAAUGUAUGGUGUAGCGGUGAAAUGCUUAGAGAUCAUACAGAACACCGAUUGCGAAGGCAGCUUACCAAGCUACUUCUGACGUUGAGGCACGAAAGCGUGGGGAGCAAACAGGAUUAGAUACCCUUGUAGUC
This 461-nucleotide ribosomal RNA is filed under the name uncultured bacterium. RNAcentral describes it as "partial 16S ribosomal RNA". It matches the Rfam family "Bacterial small subunit ribosomal RNA", at positions 338 to 795 of the family's 1533-position model. The record is from RNAcentral.